CCUGCCCUUAGACCUGCAGGUGUGGCUGUUAUGUCACAUGUACAUCAGUAGGUGGCAGAGAGAAGAGAGGCUACACGUCUAUGUUGAGUGUUCAGAUCUAUGAAUAGCUGAAUGUUUUGUAGCCUAAGAUU
Molecule: small nucleolar RNA, 131 nt
Organism: Arvicanthis niloticus (Nile rat)
Lineage: Eukaryota; Metazoa; Chordata; Mammalia; Rodentia; Muridae
Product: small nucleolar RNA SNORA17
Source: RefSeq, a predicted model, not a curated record